UACGUAGGGGGCAAGCGUUGUCCGGAAUUAUUGGGCGUAAAGCGCGCGCAGGCGGUCCUUUAAGUCUGAUGUGAAAGCCCACGGCUUAACCGUGGAGGGUCAUUGGAAACUGAGGGACUUGAGUACAGAAGAGGAGAGUGGAAUUCCACGUGUAGCGGUGAAAUGCGUAGAGAUGUGGAGGAACACCAGUGGCGAAGGCGACUCUCUGGUCUGUAACUGACGCUGAGGUGCGAAAGCGUGGGUAGCAAACAGGAUUAGAUACCCGGGUAGUCCCU
RNAcentral lists this ribosomal RNA (275 nucleotides) under uncultured prokaryote. RNAcentral describes it as "partial 16S ribosomal RNA". It matches the Rfam family "Bacterial small subunit ribosomal RNA", at positions 524 to 798 of the family's 1533-position model. The record is from RNAcentral.